CCUACGGGAGGCAGCAGUGAGGAAUAUUGGUCAAUGGACGAGAGUCUGAACCAGCCAAGUAGCGUGAAGGAUGACUGCCCUAUGGGUUGUAAACUUCUUUUAUAUGGGAAUAAAAUGUUCCACGUGUGGGAUUUUGUAUGUACCAUAUGAAUAAGGAUCGGCUAACUCCGUGCCAGCAGCCGCGGUAAUACGGAGGAUCCGAGCGUUAUCCGGAUUUAUUGGGUUUAAAGGGAGCGUAGGUGGAUUGUUAAGUCAGUUGUGAAAGUUUGCGGCUCAACCGUAAAAUUGCAGUUGAAACUGGCAGUCUUGAGUACAGUAGAGGUGGGCGGAAUUCGUGGUGUAGCGGUGAAAUGCUUAGAUAUCACGAAGAACUCCGAGUGCGAAGGCAGUUCACUGGACUGCAACUGACACGGAGGCUCGAAAGUGUGGGUAUCAAACAGGAUUAGAUACCCGAGUAGUC
This 460-nucleotide ribosomal RNA is filed under the name uncultured bacterium. RNAcentral's name for it is "partial 16S ribosomal RNA". It matches the Rfam family "Bacterial small subunit ribosomal RNA", at positions 338 to 795 of the family's 1533-position model. The record is from RNAcentral.